GAUGAAGAACGUAGCGAAAUGCGAUAAGUAAUGCGAAUUGCAGAAUCCGUGAGUCAUCGAAUCUUUGAACGCACAUUGCGCCCCUUGGUUAUUCCGAAGGGCAUGCCUGUUCGAGCGUCAUUUAACCCCUCAAGCCUAGCUUGGUAUUGGGUGCUUGUCCCGCCUCUCGCGCGGCGACUCACCUCAAAGUCAUUGGCAGCCCGCAUCUCGCCGGCCGUGAGCGCAGCACAGACGCGCUCUUGGCAACGACGGAUCGGCUCUCCAAAAGCUUAUUUCAACCACUGACCUCGGAUCAGGUAGGGAUACCCGCUGAACUUAAGCAUAUCAAUAAGCGGAGGA
RNAcentral lists this unclassified non-coding RNA (339 nucleotides) under soil metagenome. RNAcentral describes it as "partial contains 5.8S ribosomal RNA, internal transcribed spacer 2, and large subunit ribosomal RNA". The stretch from base 1 to 120 matches the Rfam family "5.8S ribosomal RNA", at positions 35 to 154 of the family's 154-position model. The record is from RNAcentral.